RNAcentral lists this transfer RNA (76 nucleotides) under Candidatus Latescibacterota bacterium. RNAcentral's name for it is "tRNA-Glu". It matches the Rfam family "tRNA". Rfam says of the family: Transfer RNA (tRNA) molecules are approximately 80 nucleotides in length. Their secondary structure includes four short double-helical elements and three loops (D, anti-codon, and T loops). Lineage: Bacteria; Pseudomonadati; Candidatus Latescibacterota. The record is from RNAcentral.
GACCCCGUCGUCCAGUCGGUCAGGACACCAGUCUUUCAAGCUGGUAACGGGGGUUCAAAUCCCCUCGGGGUCACCU